GUGAGAUCAUGGCCUGAGCCAAAGUUGGACAUUUAACCAACUGAGCCACCCAGGAGCCCCCUGGUACCCCUUUUAUGCCCAGUAACAGCAAAUAUUUUCAAAGAAUCAGAAAGUCAACCAGAAGGAAGCUUGACAUGAAGUUACCAUUGCCCUUGUUCCAUGCUCUGUCGAAGCUUCUUAUUUGUAUUUUUCUCUUAAUUCCCCAAGUCAGCCGCUAAGGUUGCAAACUGGAGACCAAAGGUAAGUAGCACAAAGCCUUGUCCAGAGUCAAUGAAUGGAUAGGAUACCCGGUCCAGGGUUGCAUGGCUAGUAAAAGGCCAGGGCUCGGACUUGAACUUGGGAACUUCUGAUCCCCAGUUCAGCCCAUUUAUCUCCACUUUUGGCAUACAGGGGAGGAAGAUGACCAACAGAUAAAGAGAAUGAUCUAGUGGCAGGGUAGGGGUUGGAUCCUGAAUCUCUCGCUGGCCUGACCAAUCUGCUGCUGCGUCCUAGGGUGUCCCCAAGCAGGGCUGGCUGGGAGGCUCCGGGUUUAGCUGUCUUGAAGCUCCUUCCCAGCAGCCUGAACCAGGCCUGUGGAGGCACAGCAGGAGGGAAGGGGGGGGGGAGGGAACACAAAUGACCCUAAUCAGUGUGUUUAUUGGAUCAUAACUGUAUUAGCCUCACAACUCAGCGAAUCUCACAGAAAUCACUUUCCUCUCCAUGAGGAUUUAGCCACAGUUCCAUUAAAAGCUGCUGGCCCACGUGUACCUGUGAGGAAGCUCUUGUACAGCAGAAGCAGCGGGGGAGGAAGGAGAGGCAAUAUUUCUACUUCCUCAUUACGCUGACAGGGAAAAUGGCCAUUUCACAUUCACUGUAUAAGAAAAGCCCCCAAAGGAAAGGGAAUCCAAGGUUCACAUUGUCUUUUUGGCAACGUUCAGCUCUAAGAAGAUGUUCUCUUUGUGCCUCCCUUUUUGAAAGCAUUUGUGAUGCUGUUUAAGAUAAAACAAGAGUCGGGAAGGAACUUGUGUUUGGGGAACAUACCAGGUGCCAGACGCUUUACACGUAUUAUUCCCUUGAAACUCUCUGAAGGCCUGUGAACGAGGCCUCGUGACGUCCCAUUCACAGGUGCAUCCAUUUCAUGGGUGAAGGCUCCACUCAGAUGGCUGGGCCUUGGCGGGGCUGAGCUUCAAGCUGGGGGUCUGUGCUCUCCCUCUGCCAUACCCCAGACUCCCACAGUGACAGCAUUUACCUUUGUUCCCUCCUUGCACUCACAAAAAUAUAGAGACUGGUUUUCACGCGGGCCACUGUGUGACCGUGGCAGCUUCCUUCCCCAAGCCUCCAUCUGUGGAACGAGGGGCCCAGACUAAACCCGCUCUGGUCUAAACUCCGAUGAUUUGAUGAAGGUAUUUUUCUCGCCCAGUAGCUCCCAGCCCGUCCUUAUCUAAUUACAAUCUCAAACCAAACUUGGGGGGAUGGCGGUAUGGGUAUUAUUCCCAUUUUUAAAGCUAGGGCUACUUGAGAAGCAGAAAUGCAGUGAGGGGUUCAAGGUCACAGCAUGAAUGGAGAACCCGGCACUCUGCCUCCAGCCCCCAGGCACGCACGCAGGCUGUCAGCAGCAGCUCUGGGAGCCUGACAUCUGAGCCUCACCCUGGCUCCUGAUAGAAUUAUCAGCGAACUGGGGAACACAUACUUCCCGUAAUCAGGGCAACUUUUCUUAGCCAGGGGUGGAGGAGGCAAGAUGUGAAGUGUGUCUGAUGAGCUGCUCUUCCAGUGCAGGGCCUAGAGUGAAUAAAACCCAGGGAAAUCAUGGCAGACAGCUGGAGAUUCAAGCAGGCGAGCUCCAGGGGCAGGGCCACUGGGACUUCAGCUCCUGCACAAAGCCAGUCUCAUGGCAUUUUGUGCACGUUUCAGUCUUCAGCAGCCAGGCAGGCAAACACGGGCAGCUUGGCAUGAAAAUUAAUUUAGACCUUAAAAGAAGUGUUUCAUCUUCAGUGGCUUUUCAGGCUGCCCCAAUCCAGGUGCAGCAAAGGGAGAUGUGAGGGAGCAGUGGUGACAGAGGACCUGAGGGCUUGGGUGAAACCACAGCCUUGUACCCAAUGGCCUCAGGUAGUGGGGGCAGAGAGUCCUGGGGCCGAGGCAGACCCUCACAGCAGCUCGGACGAGGGAGAAAGGAGAGGGGUUUCUGGGAAUAGAAUCAGCUGAGGCCAGCCAGGUAAAAAUCCAGCUAUUCUGACCCUCACCCAGGCCUGAGCCUGCCAAUCGGGAAUGUGACAAGCGUGUUGGUGGGAGGCUGGGCCUUCAGGGAGGGACAUAGUGUGCUUUUCAGCUUGUGAAGAAAUGUGAGGAUUCACUCUCCAUUUCCCAAGAUGCUCAAACAAGAGGAAAUCGGCUUACAUCAAGUGGAGACAGUUCAAGAGGCCCAGGAGCAGACUGGCUGGCUGGUCAUAAUGUAUUCAAAUGCAAUUAAGUCCAGUGAGAAGAAGGAGGGAGGCUGAGGCCCGGGAAAGGCCACAUUGUGGAGGACCAAGGUCAAGGCCUUCAGGGCACGUCCCCUGCUAGUGGGGAGAGGAGAAAAAAAAUCUACCUAAGAGAACAGUUUUGGAGGUUCAGUGGAAGGACAGGUUGGAAGGACCUUGGCUUUUAUUGUGGAAGGCCCAGAGACGGCACAUUUGUGUUUCUCAACCAACAGAAAGUCAAAGGGACCCAUGUCUUACCUGAAGGAGCCGAGGUGAGAGCAGAUCCCUGAGACUCCUUCUAACCAGAGCUCCUGUUAAUUUUUUUUUUUAUCUCUAGUUUCUGUUUAUUGGCAGAACAGCCUUGGGCAAAUCUCUUCCCCUCUCAAGGACUCAGUUCCAGAUCUGUAAAGUCUGGGGCUGCCAUGUGUGGUGAUGGAGGGUGUUCACUGCACAAGGACACCCAGCCAAGGGAGUAAGUAGAGGCUCAGACCCGCCCAUGCCCUGCUUAACAAGCCAUGUGCCCUGUCUGGCUCAGGGUUUCAUUUACCCAGAGUAAAGAACACAUUUUUCUAGUCUGUCCCUGUCCCAUGCAGAGUCCUUCUUCUGCUCUUCUGGGUCCCUGUUCUCCGACCAUCGCCAGUCUCCACCAGGGCAAAUCUGAGGGCGGCAUUUACACGAAGUGUACUGAGAGGGUGGACAGCAGCUGCCUCCCCUGUGAGGAACUCUGCCUCCUAAACCCCGUGGUGCUUUUCCUCUCCUUAUCAAUGCUGCGAGUUGCCUCUCGAAAUUGCUCUGCCGUCAUUAACACCGCGGAUUAGGUCAGACGAGCGUGUGUGUGCAGUCUUAGAUGGCAAAGGCAAAGCGCUGAUGCUGAUUAUUCUAGAUCUUCUGGGCAUGGCCCAUUCCGUGCUCACAGUUCUUAAUCAGAGGGACGCGCGUUGGUUACGUGGCCGGGUGGGCCAGGGCCAUGGCUGGUUCUGAUGUGGCUGCCAGGCCCAGACAACACGUCUGCAGCACCUGCCAGCCUGCUGGCAUCACAAGUGACCUGAGUAGAAGAAAUCGCCCAUCGGAUGGCAUGCCUGCUGGCUGCUUUUGAACCAUCAGCAAUUCAUUUGAGCAAGGACUAUGAGCAUUUUGCCCUGGGCCUGAACACCAAGUUUUGUGUUCUGGGGCUCACUCUGUUGGCCAUGUGGCUGAGGGGUAUCUUCCAGACCACUACUCCUGAAGUGCUCCCUUCUGAAAAGCUUCUGGAGGAGGAGGAGGAGGCCAAGACCUGUGGCCUUGCAUCAUGGCCCCCCACCUCCUGGCCUCCUGUUCUACCUCCACCACCUUCACCCUAGGCUCCAGCCACACCGCGGUCUCCCUCCGGCCCUUGAUCGCGCUGGUUCCCUGCCAGGAGUGCCCGCUUAGCCUUGUCCUGCAGGCAGAAGCUCGUCAUCUGUGGCAGCUGCUGUCCCGGCGAUGCCCUGACCUUUACCACUUCAGUAUGUUCCAGCCCCACAUCCGGAUGCCAGCACCUGCAUUUCUUUGCCUGGAGCUUUCUCUGGCCUCUGGAACCUGCAUGUGCCACUCUGUGCUGGGCAGAGGCCAGAAGUGCCAGGGAAUUCCCCCCCCCCCAAACAGGAACCCCCAGCCACUGACAAAAGUUGGUGUAUACACACCCCUGCUCUCUCACGCCUGCGGCGGGCUAAUUCCAAGGCGUGUUCUCUUCAGUGCGAAUGAGCCCUAGCUGCCCGGUGAUAACCGGCUUGAGAAACCACCCAGGAUUGCCCACUUACCUGUCUUACUUCCGCGCUCCCCACAGCGUUUUCCUUCGUCUCCCAAAUAAACUACUCACAUUCAAA
This is a long non-coding RNA of Felis catus (domestic cat), 4279 nucleotides long. RefSeq lists it as uncharacterized. The record is from RefSeq and is a predicted model, not a curated record. Lineage: Eukaryota; Metazoa; Chordata; Mammalia; Carnivora; Felidae. The transcript has 2 exons.